Molecule: non-coding RNA, 529 nt
Organism: Malus domestica (apple)
Lineage: Eukaryota; Viridiplantae; Streptophyta; Magnoliopsida; Rosales; Rosaceae
Source: RefSeq, a predicted model, not a curated record
UUAAGAUCCAAAAAGUGGGAGAAACCCAUUGUCUCUCCUCGCUCCCUCUUCUCUUUCACACGCUGCAACAGCGGCCCAAGCCGACGACUGCCAACGCAACAGCUCUGUCGUCCACAGGUCACCAAAGGCUGUCAAACUACACAUCCUGAAUGCUCUUGCCGUCCUGUAUCCAAUCCCCAAGUUCGUUUCUAUAAAUUCGUAGGCGGUUUUCCGCAAUUUCCAAUUUAAGAAACGGUGACCCAGGGUUUUCCAUCCAACUUCCGGCCAAUAUCGCAGUAAUUGGACCUCGACCUAAGACGUAGAAAUGAUCCUCUUCUCGUGGGCUGUUCUCCAAUGUUGAUAGUUGAAGCAUGUCUAUAACAUGGUGUGGGAUUGAACUCUGUAGAACCUUGUAAUGUUGUGAAUAGGCAAUGAAUGAACUCUGUUGCAUAGGAAUUAUAAAAUUCAUGGAAAGAAUGUGAAAAUGUGGAACGAAAUUAGAAAAUGGGGGCCAAAAUCAUGUUAUGAUGAAGACAAUAGCUUAGCCCGA